CGUGUAGGCGGCUUGGAAAGUCGGAUGUGAAAGCCCUGGGCUCAACCUAGGAAGUGCAUUCGAAACUGCUGAGCUGGAGUCCUGGAGAGGAAGGCGGAAUUCUCGGUGUAGAGGUGAAAUUCGUAGAUAUCGAGAGGAACACCGGUGGCGAAGGCGGCCUUCUGGACAGUGACUGACGCUGAGAGCGAAAGCGUGGGGAGCAACA
Molecule: ribosomal RNA, 205 nt
Filed under: uncultured bacterium
Lineage: Bacteria
Description: partial 16S ribosomal RNA
Rfam family: Bacterial small subunit ribosomal RNA
Source: RNAcentral